This is a long non-coding RNA of Brienomyrus brachyistius, 3805 nucleotides long. RefSeq lists it as uncharacterized. The transcript has 3 exons. The record is from RefSeq and is a predicted model, not a curated record. Lineage: Eukaryota; Metazoa; Chordata; Actinopteri; Osteoglossiformes; Mormyridae.
AUAGUAAAGGCUUAUGUAUGUAUUUACAAUGUAGACUUAUUUAAUUUAUUUAAUUAUUUUCCCCAAUAAGAGUUAAUAAAUCUAAGUAGGAACCUUUUAACAUUUCCCCUCGUAGCUGGUGGGAACUUGGUAAAAUCAUCCUGUUUUAACGGUAGAUCUUUAGAUGGCAGAUUAGGUGGCUUGAAGAAGGCAGUGGGCGUAAAGAACCAACAUUGCGUAAAGGAUAUAUCUAUAUAAAUAUCUUUGUAAAAUGCAUUGUUUGCACCUGUUCCUCGUCUGACCUGGUCACUAUGUGGUCGCUGAAAGCCAGCCAGCCCUUCUCUUCCAUGGUAAAGGUGUCGCUGAUGUAGUGACCUACGAGAAAGACAGAGAUGGUGCUGGAGCCAAGGUGGCUGAGAAUACCGACAAGCUGAUAGCGGUGUCUGGGUGGCUGCCCGUCCGACCAUUGUUUCCGCCUGAAGGGAAAACUCACCAUGAACUUCAUCUACCUCUAUGGCAGCUCCACCACUCUGCGUAUCUCCAGUCUCUCUUACUCUGUUCUUAUUAAACUUUACUAAUGUCCUAAGCUCCCUCUCUUUCCCUCUCACUCACAUGUCUUCCACCAACUCUCCCUACCCUCAACAGUGCAGGUGUUUGCUGCUCUGUCUCUGGUCCAGCUGCUUAAGAGAGACCGGAACCACAGGAGAAACCAAACACAAUGAGAUGAGAGGUGAAAUGACAUUUCUACUGGAGCCACAGAGAAAACAAGUGGUCUAACCAAAAUAAUGGCAUGGUGGGUAACUUUCUUUUGCCCAGUGACAGGGGUCUGUCCUGGAACAUCCUACUACCUUGGUACCAGGUUUUAUGGGGAGAUGAUCUACUCUUACUGGUUCCACCACUGAAAUCCAUUGAACUGUACAAUCCCUCCAUAUAGUUUGCUGAAUAGUACAGUAUAUUAUGAUUAUGUAUAUUGGAAGUGCACCCCAAGGUACUUAUUUACCUUCUUGGAGCAGUGCUGCCUGAGGUGUCCCUGUCAGCUGGGAGAUCUCCCUGAAGUGGCGGAGCAGGGAGGUCUCCCUGCGGAGGAGAACUGGGUCCUGCACUUUGACCAGUUCAAACUGAGAUGAAGUUGAAUCUCUUCAUGUGCAGGACCAGGAUACUGCAGAUGCAGAAGGAGAGUCAAUGAGAAAGGGGAGAGGGACAGCACAGAACACACACACCACAUGUAUGAGAAAAUGAACAACAUACCGCUCAACACAAAAACAUCCAUUUGUCACACUGUGCACAUUACUGAGCACCAUAUAUGCAUACAACUGUUCCUCUUAUUUGUUGGGAAUGUAAUGAACUCACCGAGGCAGUGUAAUAAAUGCCCAUGAAAGGACAGCAUGCCCCCCCUGCAGGUGGCACACCUGAACUCCACCUCUGUAUUCUGUAAUUAGCACACAGAGGUACUAAGUCAUUAGUGCCUUUUACCAGCACCAUUACAAUGCAACACUUCUGUGUCAGAACCAGAUAGUCAGGCGUAGGGUGAGUAUGUGUUCUGGAAAACUGCUAGUUGUGAGUGAUCUUGUGUGCAGAACUACAGACACCUCGAAGUAGUUCUUCAGCAGAUCUUCCACUUGCAAAUUUGGGAGGACAUCCAGGUAGAGAAAGUGGAAAGCGAUACUAAUGCUUUGUGUCUUUAUGGCAGCAUUACGUAAGUCAUUCAGACAGCCGUGCAAAACCAAUAAAACCAGCAGGGUGUACAUGGUACACGUCCUCUGGCACAGCAUCUCGAAUGACAGGUGUCCUUCCAUAGGACUGGUGUACAUCACUGUUCUCUCCCAGGCCAGAAUUAACUUCCCCAGCUCAUUUAGCUGGGAUAUCAGGCAGCUGAAGAACUCAUGGGUGUCCUAGAUGAUUGGAGAUAAACAGAAAAUGCUUGCAGACUGAAAAUGUAUAUAUAUGAGACUGAUAUUGCUUAACAUUUUUCAGUAUAAGGUGUGUUUUCAUCAUUGUAUAUUCCUUGUAUAUUCCUUAGUCAAUAUUAUGCUUAUCUCAGCAAACUGCUCAGAAACCGUAUGAAUUAGUUUUCUCAACAAAGUCUUCUUCUGCUUUGAGCUUGAACCACGUGUUGCAGAUAGAAGAUCAGCGAAAUAUCUGCAAGUCAAGAGAGGCAGAAUUGGAGUUGGUAUCUCCACUUUCAAGCAGAUCAAUUUGUGAUUAGGGCAGUAACACAUGUGGACAUAACAAUAGAAAAUUCACAUGUAUGUAGUUGUGUGAGAGAGCUUGUAUGAUGCUGAUAUUUGUGUUGGGUACCUGAUAAGGUCAGCAUAGGGGACUGACACCCACUGUUCUUCCUGCCUACUGAUGUCCUUGCAGAAUCAGCUGGGGGGUAAGGGAAGCUAUAGGGAUCUGUGGUAUCCUUGGUGAACUUCUCCAGGCUGCUGGUAAUACUGACCUUGCAGGUAAUCUUUGCUUCAAUUUGGGAGACAGGUGUCAUCCCAACUGACUGGAAAAUGGGACUUGUAGUCCCUAUCUAGAAAGGGAAGGGUCAUCGUCUGGAUUGCGGUAACUAUAGGGGGAUAACACUGUUUCUUAAUGCCAGGUAAGGUUUUGGCUAGAGUCAUCCUUAACAGAAUCCAUGAUCACUUGCUCUCCUACCAAUGACUGGAGUGGUCUGGUUUUGUGCCUAAGAAGUCUACCAUCCACCAUAUUCUGGCACUGAGAGUUCUCCUCGAGCGCAAGCGCAAACAUCGGCAGAGGUUUUUUGCAGCCUUGGUCGAUUUACAUAAAGCGUUUGAUUUAGCUGCUAUGUGGGACAUCCUGAGACUUUAUGGGAUCCCACGGAAGUUGCUGGAUGUCAAUUCCGGCCUGUACACUGGUACUGUGAGUGCUAGGCAGAGUGGAUGGAGAACCUCUGUGUGUCCCAGUUGAUUCUGGGGUUUGCCAGGGGUGUAUUCUUGCUCCUACUUGUGUGGACUGGGUGUUGGGCAGGGUCGUGGGGUCCAGCAGCUGUGGGGCUUCCGUUGGUAAAGAACGAGUUACUGAUCUUGACUUUACUGACGAUGCUGUGAUCUUAGCAGAAUCAAUGGCAGCUCUGAUUGGGGCUCUUGAGAGACUGAGCGAGGAGUAUGAGUGUCUGAGAUUGUGGGUGUCCCGGAUAAAAACCUAGAUCCAGGUGUUUAAUGACUUCUCUGUGUCUCUUUAGAGAAUCCUUGGGGCCCUUCCAGUGAGGGCGACUCUCCAUGGGGUCAUUUAACCAAUCCAUGGCACCAACACAUUAUCAGGGGUGCCUGAACUUUUGCAUAACACUGUAUAGCCCUGGAAAAUGACCCAACAAGGAGAAGGGGCCAGUGGAUUCUGGAGUUAGACCUUUUCAACUGGGUUAUUGUCCACAAGGAUGGUUUCCGCCAUAGAAAUGCGGAUGCAUUAUCACGCUGGCCAGCGUUGGACAGCUACAUUGAGUCAAGGAACUCUUACAGCUAUGUGCAGGCUGUUGGUUCUCCAGGAGGGAAUGACAUUUUGCCUACUAAGACAGGAGAAGGCCCAAUUGAUGUAUUCACUUGCCUCGGACAGGUCGAAGUUAAUGUCAUUGCAGAGAAAGGAUUUGCAUCCUGAGACUUUAUGGGAUCCCACGGAAGUUGCUGGAUGUCGAGUCCGGCCUGUUCUCCAGGGGGGAAUGACAUUUUGCCUCCCGAUAAAACCUGGUAUCAAGGUAGUGGGAUGUUCCUGGACAGACCCCUGUCACUGGGCAUAAGAAAGUUACCCACCACACUGUUAUUUUGGUUAGACCACUUAUUUUCUCUGUGGCUCCAGCUUCCCACUCUGAGUCCACCACUUCCCC